This 671-nucleotide ribosomal RNA is filed under the name Serratia sp. (in: enterobacteria). Its description in RNAcentral is "bacterial SSU rRNA". It matches the Rfam family "Bacterial small subunit ribosomal RNA", at positions 67 to 728 of the family's 1533-position model. The record is from RNAcentral. Lineage: Bacteria; Pseudomonadati; Pseudomonadota; Gammaproteobacteria; Enterobacterales; Yersiniaceae.
CGGUAGCACAGGGGAGCUUGCUCCCCGGGUGACGAGCGGCGGACGGGUGAGUAAUGUCUGGGAAACUGCCUGAUGGAGGGGGAUAACUACUGGAAACGGUAGCUAAUACCGCAUAACGUCGCAAGACCAAAGAGGGGGACCUUCGGGCCUCUUGCCAUCGAUGUGCCCAGAUGGGAUUAGCUAGUAGGUGGGGUAAUGGCUCACCUAGGCGACGAUCCCUAGCUGGUCUGAGAGGAUGACCAGCCACACUGGAACUGAGACACGGUCCAGACUCCUACGGGAGGCAGCAGUGGGGAAUAUUGCACAAUGGGCGCAAGCCUGAUGCAGCCAUGCCGCGUGUGUGAAGAAGGCCUUCGGGUUGUAAAGCACUUUCAGCGAGGAGGAAGGUGAUGAGCUUAAUACGUUCAUCAAUUGACGUUACUCGCAGAAGAAGCACCGGCUAACUCCGUGCCAGCAGCCGCGGUAAUACGGAGGGUGCAAGCGUUAAUCGGAAUUACUGGGCGUAAAGCGCACGCAGGCGGUUUGUUAAGUCAGAUGUGAAAUCCCCGGGCUCAACCUGGGAACUGCAUUUGAAACUGGCAAGCUAGAGUCUCGUAGAGGGGGGUAGAAUUCCAGGUGUAGCGGUGAAAUGCGUAGAGAUCUGGAGGAAUACCGGUGGCGAAGGCGGCCCC